UUCGUAAUGCGGCCGUGCUGGUAACGUUCCAGCGCGACGGUCCCAAGCCCGAAAAACGCAGAGGGAGAA
RNAcentral lists this non-coding RNA (69 nucleotides) under unclassified sequences. The record is from RNAcentral.